UACAGGGGGUGCUAGCGUUGUUCGGAAUUACUGGGCGUAAAGGGCGCGUAGGCGGUCUUGUAAGUCAGGAGUGAAAUCCCGGAGCUUAACUUCGGAAUUGCUUUUGAAACUACAAAGCUAGAGUGUGUUAGAGGAUGGCGGAAUUCCUAGUGUAGAGGUGAAAUUCGUAGAUAUUAGGAAGAACACCGGUGGCGAAGGCGGCCAUCUGGGACACAACUGACGCUGAGGCGCGAAAGCGUGGGGAUCAAACAGG
RNAcentral lists this ribosomal RNA (253 nucleotides) under uncultured bacterium. Its description in RNAcentral is "partial 16S ribosomal RNA". It matches the Rfam family "Bacterial small subunit ribosomal RNA", at positions 524 to 776 of the family's 1533-position model. The record is from RNAcentral.